UGAGUAACACGCUAUCCAACCUGCCGAUAACUCGGGGAUAGCCUUUCGAAAGAAAGAUUAAUAUCCGAUAGUAUAUUAAAACCGCAUGGUUUUACUAUUAAAGAAUUUCGGUUAUCGAUGGGGAUGCGUUCCAUUAGUUUGUUGGCGGGGUAACGGCCCACCAAGACUACGAUGGAUAGGGGUUCUGAGAGGAAGGUCCCCCACAUUGGAACUGAGACACGGUCCAAACUCCUACGGGAGGCAGCAGUGAGGAAUAUUGGUCAAUGGACGAGAGUCUGAACCAGCCAAGUAGCGUGAAGGAUGACUGNCCCUAUGGGUUGUAAACUUCUUUUAUAUGGGAAUAAAGUAUUCCACGUGUGGGGAUUUUGUAUGUACCAUAUGAAUAAAGGAUCGGCUAACUCCGUGCCAGCAGCCGCGGUAAUACGGAGGAUCCGAGCGUUAUCCGGAUUUAUUGGGUUUAAAGGGAGCGUAGGUGGAUUGUUAAGUCAGUUGUGAAAGUUUGCGGCUCAACCGUAAAAUUGCAGUUGAAACUGGCAGUCUUGAGUACAGUAGAGGUGGGCGGAAUUCGUGGUGUAGCGGUGAAAUGCUUAGAUAUCACGAAGAACUCCGAUUGCGAAGGCAGCUCACUAGACUGCAACUGACACUGAUGCUCGAAAGUGUGGGUAUCAAACAGGAUUAGAUACCCUGGUAGUCCACACAGUAAACGAUGAAUACUCGCUGUUUGCGAUAUACAGUAAGCGGCCAAGCGAAAGCAUUAAGUAUUCCACCUGGGGAGUACGCCGGCAACGGUGAAACUCAAAGGAAUUGACGGGGGCCCGCACAAGCGGAGGAACAUGUGGNUUUAAUUCGAUGAUACGCGAGGAACCUUACCCGGGGCUUAAAUUGCAUUUGAAUAAUCUGGAAACAGGUUAGCCGCAAGGCAAAUGUGAAGGUGCUGCAUGGUUGUCGUCAGCUCGUGCCGUGAGGUGUCGGCUUAAGUGCCAUAACGAGCGCAACCCUUAUCUUUAGUUACUAACAGGUCAUGCUGAGGACUCUAGAGAGACUGCCGUCGUAAGAUGUGAGGAAGGUGGGGAUGACGUCAAAUCAGCACGGCCCUUACGUCCGGGGCUACACACGUGUUACAAUGGGGGGUACAGAAGGCAGCUACCUGGCGACAGGAUGCUAAUCCCAAAAACCUCUCUCAGUUCGGAUCGAAGUCUGCAACCCGACUUCGUGAAGCUGGAUUCGCUAGUAAUCGCGCAUCAGCCAUGGCGCGGUGAAUACGUUCCCGGGCCUUGUACACACCGCCCGUCAAGCCAUGAAAGCCGGGGGUACCUGAAGUACGUAACCGCAAGGAGCUCCUAGG
Molecule: ribosomal RNA, 1345 nt
Filed under: bacterium NLAE-zl-G346
Lineage: Bacteria
Description: 16S ribosomal RNA
Rfam family: Bacterial small subunit ribosomal RNA
Source: RNAcentral